This 392-nucleotide ribosomal RNA is filed under the name uncultured bacterium. Its description in RNAcentral is "bacterial SSU rRNA". It matches the Rfam family "Bacterial small subunit ribosomal RNA", at positions 505 to 898 of the family's 1533-position model. The record is from RNAcentral.
GUGUCAGCAGCCGCGGUAAUACGGAGGGUGCAAGCGUUAUCCGGAUUCACUGGGUUUAAAGGGUGCGUAGGCGGGCUUGUAAGUCCGUGGUGAAAUCUCUGAGCUUAACUCGGAAACUGCCAUGGAUACUAUGGGUCUUGAAUACUCGGGAGGUGAGCGGAAUAUGUCAUGUAGCGGUGAAAUGCUUAGAUAUGACAUAGAACACCAAUUGCGAAGGCAGCUUGCUACAGAGUUAUUGACGCUGAGGCACGAAAGCGUGGGGAUCAAACAGGAUUAGAUACCCUGGUAGUCCACGCCCUAAACUAUGGAUACUCGACGUUGGCGAUAUGACUGUCAGCGUCUGAGCGAAAGCAUUAAGUAUCCCACCUGGGAAGUACGACCGCAAGGUUGAA